This 260-nucleotide unclassified non-coding RNA is filed under the name Ceratobasidium sp. AG-C. RNAcentral's name for it is "ITS2". Lineage: Eukaryota; Fungi; Basidiomycota; Agaricomycetes; Cantharellales; Ceratobasidiaceae. The record is from RNAcentral.
GAAAUUCUCAAAAUAAAUCUUUUGUUAAUUCAAUUGGUUUCAUUUUGGACUUGGGGGUCUGCAGAUUAACUUCUGCUCCUCUUAAAUAUAUUAGCUGGAUCUCGGAGAGGUCGGUUCCACUCGGCGUGAUAAGUAUCACUCGCUGAGGACACUGUAAAAGGUGGCCGGGCUCACUGCAGAACCGCUUCUAAUAGUCCAUUGAAUUGGACAGCUAUUUAUGAUCUGAUCUCAAAUCAGGUAGGACUACCCGCUGAACUUAA